This 230-nucleotide unclassified non-coding RNA is filed under the name Hevea brasiliensis (rubber tree). The record is from RNAcentral. Lineage: Eukaryota; Viridiplantae; Streptophyta; Magnoliopsida; Malpighiales; Euphorbiaceae.
UGAAAUGAUCAGGUCGUUGCCGAUCCGCAUAUAGUCGCCGGAGAACAGCAGAUGUGCGUCGGGAACAACGACUUGGUUGUCCGACAUAUGAUGCUGAACGAAAUUUUGCUUCGAAUCGAAAGAAUCGCUCUCCGCCCAGUGAAACUGGGGAGUCGUGCGAUAACCCGGCAUCAAAUGGUCCGGAAAAAUUCAAACUCAGCCCGCCCGUCUGAAAAUUAUUCUUAAGAAAU